Molecule: long non-coding RNA, 1105 nt
Filed under: Homo sapiens (human)
Lineage: Eukaryota; Metazoa; Chordata; Mammalia; Primates; Hominidae
Description: HSALNT0352047
Source: RNAcentral
CUGCUUUAUUAAAGGAAAGCUUCAACUCUGUGAGUUGAACGCACACAUCACAAAGAAGUUUCUGAGAAUGCUUCUAUCUAGUGUUUAUUUGAAGAUAUUCCCGUUUCCAAUGAAGGCUUCAAAGCGUUCCAAAUAUCCACUUGCAGAUUCUGCAAAAAGAGUGCUUCAAAACUGCUCUAUGAAGAGGCCUCAAAGCUCGCCAUUUGUCCACUUGAAGAUUCUACAAAAAGAGGGCUUCAAACCUGCUCUAUGAAAAGAAAGGCUCAACUCUGUUAGUUGAAUGCACACAUCACAAAGAAGUUCCUGAGAAUGCUUCUGUCUAGUGUUUAUGUGAAGAUAAUCCCGUUGCCAAUGAAGGCCUCAAAGCAGUGCAAAUAUCCACUUGCAGAUUCUACAAAAAGAGUGUUUCAAAAGUACUCUAUGAUAAGGUAUGUCCAACCUUGUGAUUUGAAUGCACACAUCAUAAGAAGUUUCUGAGAAUGCCUCUGUCUAGUUUUUAAUGGGAAGAUAUUUCCUUUUCCACCAUAGGCCUCAAAGCGCUCCAAAUGUCCACUUGCAGAUUCUAGAAAAAGAGUGUUUCAAACCUGCUCUAUCAAAAGAAAAGUUCAAAUCUGUCAGUUGAAUGCACACAGUUCAAAAAAGUUUUUGAGAAAGCUUCUGUCUAGUGAUUAUGUGAAGAUAUUCCCGUUUCCAACAAAGGCCUCAAAGCGGUCCAAAUGUUCACUUGCAGAUUCUACAAAAAGAGUGUUUCAAAACUGCUCUAUCAAAAGAAAGGUACAACUCUGUGAGUAGAAUGCACACAUCACAAAGUAGUUUCUGAGAAUGCUUCUCUCUAGUUUAUAUGUGAGAUAUUUACUUUUCCACGAUAGGCCUCAAUGCUCUCCAAAUGUCCACUUGCAGAUUCUACAAAAAGAGUGUUUCAAACAUGCUCUAUGAAAAGAAAGUUUCAACUCUUGGGGUUGAAUGCACACAUCACAAAGAAGUUUCUGAGAAUGCUUCUGCCUGUUUUUGUGUGAACAUAUUCCCGUUUCCAACAAAGGCCUCAAAGCGUUUCAAAUAUCCACUUGCAUAUUCUACAAAAAGAGUGUUUCAAAACUGCUCUAUG